Molecule: long non-coding RNA, 320 nt
Organism: Aplysia californica (California sea hare)
Lineage: Eukaryota; Metazoa; Mollusca; Gastropoda; Aplysiida; Aplysiidae
Exons: 2
Source: RefSeq, a predicted model, not a curated record
AAACACAAAUGACCGACGCCGUAUCCUGAUCCGAGCUCACUUUGCUCGAAUGACCAACGGUCAGUAUGUUUUUAUUACACCUGAUCACCUACCCCCAUCCAAUGUUGCAACCCCAUGGGUUACAGGACAAGAUGAUGAUCACUUGGCAAAGAAGGCAUACGAGCAUGUCCUACAGAUGACCGUUGCCGAGUCUGCAAGUGGCGAAUAUGAGCGGUUUCGGGAUUUGGUCGGCGAAAAAAUGGCAGAUGCUCCCUGGUUCUACAACACCACAGGAGAAAAAAGUCUUAGGGUGUGUAAGAGUAAAAAUUUAAAAGAUUAAG